ACCUGGCUGGCUCAGCGGGUGGGGCAUGAGACUCCUGAUUUCGGGGUCAUGAGUUCGAGCCCCAUGUUGGGUG
RNAcentral lists this transfer RNA (73 nucleotides) under Felis catus (domestic cat). It matches the Rfam family "tRNA". From Rfam's summary of the family: Transfer RNA (tRNA) molecules are approximately 80 nucleotides in length. Their secondary structure includes four short double-helical elements and three loops (D, anti-codon, and T loops). The record is from Rfam by way of RNAcentral. RNAcentral also lists the same sequence under 2 other names. Lineage: Eukaryota; Metazoa; Chordata; Mammalia; Carnivora; Felidae.